RNAcentral lists this long non-coding RNA (857 nucleotides) under Monodelphis domestica (gray short-tailed opossum). RNAcentral's name for it is "lncRNA (ENSMODG00000033868.2)". The record is from RNAcentral. Lineage: Eukaryota; Metazoa; Chordata; Mammalia; Didelphimorphia; Didelphidae.
UGGAACAGUGAAGUCUAGUGGUAACCACAAUCCUUAGGAGUGCCUCUCCCUAGAACCCAGACACCAUGCUGAAUUGGUAUUCAGCUCCAUGCCUUGGUUUUUACUGUCACAGAAAGCAGUAACCACAUACAAAGGAAGCUGAAUUGCUAGGAAAUGGCAUGACAUGAAAACAAAAGACAUCAACUGAGACUUAAAUUCCACAGUUCUGGGAGAAGGACUGGCUCUCAAUCCACUGAGCCACUUAACUGUCCCCAAUGGACUCCACAUUUUAAGAACAUUGACACACUGGACUGGGUACCAAAGAAAAUUAAGAAGAUGAUGGGAGGACCAGAGUCAGAGCCAAGGAUAACUCAAAAUGAUGAAAAUGAGCCCCGAAGAGGCUAAGAUGUUUAGCCAAGGUGACCCAGAUGGAGAAAAGCAAGAGAUAAAUUGAGUUCAUCUGUCACAAAGCUGGCGGUUGGCAGAAACAGACGAGAGGAAAAUAGUCGUGCACCUGAGGAGUCAACUCUAGCAGAGUGGAAGGAAAGGCACUCGUGGUGGGGAGACAUGGGAAGACAGGGAGAAAGGCUUAGGGCCAAUCAAGUGACCCCAAAUCCUAUCUCCAUAACCACUAGGUGCUUUAUUUAAGACUCAGAAGAUGCAGCUGGAAAGAACUCUAAGCCACAACCUAGAAAGAUGUUUCCCUUUGCAUAUGGGAGUCAAUCAACAACCACUGAUUAAGCAAUUACUAUGAGCUGAUAACUAUGCUGAGUUCUCAGAAUUUUUUUUAAAUGAUCCCUGCCCUCAAGGAAAUUACAUUCAUAAAUCAGCACAUACAAGGCAUUCAUCCUUCAUUUUUCAUAAAGGACCAACAAGAA